GCGCACGUGGUGAAACUGGUAGACACGCCACUUUGAGGGGGUGGUGCCCUUACGGGUGUGGAAGUUCGAAUCUUCUCGUGCGCACAA
RNAcentral lists this transfer RNA (87 nucleotides) under Cyclobacteriaceae bacterium YHN15. Its description in RNAcentral is "tRNA-Leu". It matches the Rfam family "tRNA". Rfam says of the family: Transfer RNA (tRNA) molecules are approximately 80 nucleotides in length. Their secondary structure includes four short double-helical elements and three loops (D, anti-codon, and T loops). Lineage: Bacteria; Pseudomonadati; Bacteroidota; Cytophagia; Cytophagales; Cyclobacteriaceae. The record is from RNAcentral.